Molecule: ribosomal RNA, 492 nt
Filed under: uncultured bacterium
Lineage: Bacteria
Description: partial 16S ribosomal RNA
Rfam family: Bacterial small subunit ribosomal RNA
Source: RNAcentral
AGUGAACGCUGGCGGUAGGCCUAACACAUGCAAGUCGAACGGCAGCACAGUAAGAGCUUGCUCUUACGGGUGGCGAGUGGCGGACGGGUGAGGAAUACAUCGGAAUCUACUUUUUCGUGGGGGAUAACGUAGGGAAACUUACGCUAAUACCGCAUACGACCUACGGGUGAAAGCAGGGGAUCUUCGGACCUUGCGCGAUUGAAUGAGCCGAUGUCGGAUUAGCUAGUUGGCGGGGUAAAGGCCCACCAAGGCGACGAUCCGUAGCUGGUCUGAGAGGAUGAUCAGCCACACUGGAACUGAGACACGGUCCAGACUCCUACGGGAGGCAGCAGUGGGGAAUAUUGGACGAUGGGCGCAAGCCUGAUCCAGCCAUACCGCGUGGGUGAAGAAGGCCUUCGGGUGGUAAAGCCCUUUUGUUGGGAAAGAAAAGCAGCAGGUUAAUACCCCGCUGUUCUGACGGUACCCAAAGAAUAAGCACCGGCUAACCUCGUG